This 729-nucleotide ribosomal RNA is filed under the name Micrococcus luteus. Its description in RNAcentral is "bacterial SSU rRNA". It matches the Rfam family "Bacterial small subunit ribosomal RNA", at positions 641 to 1366 of the family's 1533-position model. The record is from RNAcentral. Lineage: Bacteria; Bacillati; Actinomycetota; Actinomycetes; Micrococcales; Micrococcaceae.
CUAGAGUGCAGUAGGGGAGACUGGAAUUCCUGGUGUAGCGGUGGAAUGCGCAGAUAUCAGGAGGAACACCGAUGGCGAAGGCAGGUCUCUGGGCUGUAACUGACGCUGAGGAGCGAAAGCAUGGGGAGCGAACAGGAUUAGAUACCCUGGUAGUCCAUGCCGUAAACGUUGGGCACUAGGUGUGGGGACCAUUCCACGGUUUCCGCGCCGCAGCUAACGCAUUAAGUGCCCCGCCUGGGGAGUACGGCCGCAAGGCUAAAACUCAAAGGAAUUGCCGGGGGCCCGCACAAGCGGCGGAGCAUGCGGAUUAAUUCGAUGCAACGCGAAGAACCUUACCAAGGCUUGACAUGUUCUCGAUCGCCGUAGAGAUACGGUUUCCCCUUUGGGGCGGGUUCACAGGUGGUGCAUGGUUGUCGUCAGCUCGUGUCGUGAGAUGUUGGGUUAAGUCCCGCAACGAGCGCAACCCUCGUUCUAUGUUGCCAGCACGUCGUGGUGGGGACUCAUGGGAGACUGCCGGGGUCAACUCGGAGGAAGGUGAGGACGACGUCAAAUCAUCAUGCCCCUUAUGUCUUGGGCUUCACGCAUGCUACAAUGGCCGGUACAAUGGGUUGCGAUACUGUGAGGUGGAGCUAAUCCCAAAAAGCCGGUCUCAGUUCGGAUUGGGGUCUGCAACUCGACCCCAUGAAGUCGGAGUCGCUAGUAAUCGCAGAUCAGSAACGCUGCGGUGAA